CAAUAGCGUAUAUUAAAGCUGUUGCGGUUAAAAAGCUCGUAGUUGGAUUUCUGUCAAGGACAACUGGUCCACCCUCCGGGUGAGCACAUAGUUUGGUCUUGACAUCUUGCUGGAAGCUGUUGCUGCACUUGGCUGUGUGGCGCAGUGUUCAGCACUUUCACUUUGAGGAAAUUGGAGUGUUUCAAGCAGGCACAUGCCUUUGGACACAGUAGCAUGGAAUAAUUAGAUUGGGCUUUUGCUCCAAUUUGUCGGUUUCUGGAGCUGAGGUGAGUAUUAAUGGGGAUUGUUGGGGGCAUCCGAAUUUAGCCGUCAGAGGUGAAAUUCUUGGAUCUGCUAAAGACGGACAACUGCGAAAGCGUUUGCCCAGGAUGUUUUCAUUGA
This 381-nucleotide ribosomal RNA is filed under the name uncultured eukaryote. RNAcentral describes it as "partial 18S ribosomal RNA". It matches the Rfam family "Eukaryotic small subunit ribosomal RNA", at positions 592 to 976 of the family's 1831-position model. The record is from RNAcentral.